AACAAAAUCCCUAGAUCUCUCCUGUUGCUCCCCACGCACGCCGGCGCCCACGCCUCCGACCGCCGCCCCGCGCCGCCCGGGGCUACCGCCGGUCUAUCCCACCGCUGCCCCACGCCGCCCUUCCUCUGUAGCACCGCCCCACGCUGCCCUUCCUCUGUAGCACCGCCCCACGCUGCCCUGUCCCUACAGCGCAGCCCAACUCCGUCCCGCCUCUCUCCGCCGCCGGCUCCACACCCUCGUGAUCUCUCUCCGGUUGGCCGCCUCUUUCCAACAUCCCGGGCCCGACCUCCCCAUCUCCACCUUCCAGCUCACGAAGACACACGCAGCGGCAAAUUUGGAUGGGGGCAGCGUGCGCCUGGGCAAGGGCAUCUCUCUCUGUCUUUGGCUGGGCAGGGGCACAGAAGCGGCUGAGUUAAACAGAGGACAACUGUUUGUAACAUUGAGCCGAUGAAGAGAAGUAGCAGAAUAUUCGACGCCACCUUAGUGCAUAAGGAGGAAAAAUGGCAAGCGCAAGAGUCACAAACAAUAUAUAUAUCUUCUUGUGAGGUUGUUGUCAAUGUUGUGAUCACAAGGGAUGCAACACUGCCUUAUGAAUAUGAUGGUUUACGAUUUGUCGCCGAUGCUAUCACAAGGUCCAUUGCAUGGCCAUCUAGCAAGAUGAAACCCUACAAGCCAGGGGCAUCUUCCUCCGUGUUAAUCUUGUCUGAGAUCUCUGAUGGUGGUGGAAAGACAACAUUUGUUUAUUUCAUUAUCGAUAAGAAAACGUGA
RNAcentral lists this ribosomal RNA (768 nucleotides) under Triticum aestivum (bread wheat). RNAcentral's name for it is "partial small subunit ribosomal RNA". The record is from RNAcentral. Lineage: Eukaryota; Viridiplantae; Streptophyta; Magnoliopsida; Poales; Poaceae.